UCAGUCUCCUGUUGACCGGAACUCCC
This 26-nucleotide non-coding RNA is filed under the name Homo sapiens (human). Lineage: Eukaryota; Metazoa; Chordata; Mammalia; Primates; Hominidae. The record is from RNAcentral.